UACACGCUGUGACUAGCAUAUCAAUAAGCGGAGGAAAAGAAACUAACAAGGAUUCCCCUAGUAACGGCGAGUGAAGCGGGAAGAGCUCAAAUUUGAAAUCUUAAAGGGUUUCCCUUUACGAAUUGUAGUUUAAAGAAGUGUUUUCUGUUGAGGUUUUGGUAAAAGUUCUUUGGAAUAGGACAUCAUAGAGGGUGAGAAUCCCGUAUUUGACCUUUACUUUCAACCUUGUGAUACACUUUCAAAGAGUCGGAUUGUUUGGGAAUGCAGUCCAAAAUGGGUGGUAAAUUUCAUCUAAAGCUAAAUAUUGGCGAGAGACCGAUAGCGAACAAGUACCGUGAGGGAAAGAUGAAAAGAACUUUGAAAAGAGAGUUAAACAGUACGUGAAAUUGUCAAAAGGGAAGCGUUUGACACCAGUGUUGUUUUUCUGAAAAUCAAUUAAAGAACUGUUUAUGCUAAGCUGUUUAGACUUUAUCAGCUAAUCUGUUUAGUUUUGAGCUUUUCUUUAAUGCACUUUUCAGUUAACAAGUCAACAUCAAUUUCUUUUGCUGUAAAAAAGCUUGAGGAAGGUGGCUUGAGAUUCGUCUUAAGUGUUUAUAGCCUCUUGCCUAUGCAGUCGGAGAGAUUGAGGUCUGCAGCGUAGAUCCUUCGGGGCUAAAUGCAUUUGUGCUAAGUUAUAGCAUUUUAUAGACAACUUGUUGACUAUGAUUUGUCUUGUAGCUUACUCGCUUAUGUUAUUUUACCUACGCUUAGGAUGUUGACUGAUAUGUAGUCGUA
RNAcentral lists this ribosomal RNA (774 nucleotides) under uncultured Neocallimastigales. RNAcentral's name for it is "partial large subunit ribosomal RNA". It matches the Rfam family "Eukaryotic large subunit ribosomal RNA", at positions 22 to 644 of the family's 3401-position model. The record is from RNAcentral. Lineage: Eukaryota; Fungi; Neocallimastigomycota; Neocallimastigomycetes; Neocallimastigales.